Molecule: ribosomal RNA, 207 nt
Filed under: Plasmodium falciparum (malaria parasite P. falciparum)
Lineage: Eukaryota; Apicomplexa; Aconoidasida; Haemosporida; Plasmodiidae
Description: partial 18S ribosomal RNA
Source: RNAcentral
UUUAAACUGGUUGGGAAAACCAAAUAUAUUAUAUAUUUUGCUUUGUUCAAAAUAAGGUUUUCUAAUAAAUUAUGUUUUUAUCAGAUAUGACAGAAUCUUUUUUAAAAUCUCUUCAAUAUGCUUUUAUUGCUUUUGAGAGGUUUUGUUACUUUGAGUAAAAUUAAGUGUUCAUAACAGACGGGUAGUCAUGAUUGAGUUCAUUGUGUA